UACGUAGGUGGCAAGCGUUGUCCGGAUUUAUUGGGCGUAAAGAGCUCGUAGGCGGUUUGUCGCGUCUGCUGUGAAAACCUAAGGCUCAACCUUGGGCUUGCAGUGGGUACGGGCAGACUAGAGUGCGGUAGGGGUGACUGGAAUUCCUGGUGUAGCGGUGAAAUGCGCAGAUAUCAGGAGGAACACCGAUGGCGAAGGCAGGUCACUGGGCCGCAACUGACGCUGAGGAGCGAAAGCAUGGGGAGCGAACAGG
RNAcentral lists this ribosomal RNA (253 nucleotides) under uncultured bacterium. RNAcentral describes it as "partial 16S ribosomal RNA". It matches the Rfam family "Bacterial small subunit ribosomal RNA", at positions 524 to 776 of the family's 1533-position model. The record is from RNAcentral.